UGACAGGUGGUGCAUGGUUUGUCGUCAGCUCGUGUCGUGAGAUGUUGGGUUAAGUCCCGCAACGAGCGCAACCCUCGCCUCUAGUUGCCAGCAUUCGGUUGGGCACUCUAGAGGGACUGCCGGCGACAAGUCGGAGGAAGGUGGGGAUGACGUCAAAUCAUCAUGCCCCUUAUGACCUGGGCUACACACGUGCUACAAUGGGCGGUACAAAGGGCUGCGAACCCGCGAGGGGGAGCGAAUCCCAAAAAGCCGCUCUCAGUUCGGAUUGCAGGCUGCAACUCGCCUGCAUGAAGCCGGAAUCGCUAGUAAUCGCGGAUCAGCAUGCCGCGGUGAAUACGUUCCCCGGGGCCUU
RNAcentral lists this ribosomal RNA (352 nucleotides) under uncultured Geobacillus sp. RNAcentral's name for it is "bacterial SSU rRNA". It matches the Rfam family "Bacterial small subunit ribosomal RNA", at positions 1032 to 1378 of the family's 1533-position model. The record is from RNAcentral. Lineage: Bacteria; Bacillati; Bacillota; Bacilli; Caryophanales; Anoxybacillaceae.